Molecule: ribosomal RNA, 479 nt
Filed under: uncultured bacterium
Lineage: Bacteria
Description: partial 16S ribosomal RNA
Rfam family: Bacterial small subunit ribosomal RNA
Source: RNAcentral
GAUGAACGCUGGCGGCGUGCUUAACACAUGCAAGUCGAACGAUUAAGACCCCUUCGGGGGUGUAUAGAGUGGCGAACGGAAGAGUAACACGUGGGCAACCUGCCCCUUCCUCUGGGAUAACACGGAGAAAUCCGUGCUAAUACCGGAUACUCCAUAUCUGCGGCAUCGCGGAUAUGGGAAAGCUCCGACGGGAAGGGAUGGGCCCGCGGUCCAUUAGCUAGUCGGUGGGGUAACGGCCUACCGAGGCGACGAUGGAUAGCCGGGUUGAGAGACCGACCGGCCACAUGGGGACUGAGACACGGCCCAGACUCCUACGGGAGGCAGCAGUGGGGAAUUUUGCGCAAUGGGGGAAACCCUGACGCAGCAACGCCGCGUGCGGGAUGAAGGCCUUCGGGUUGUAAGCCGCUUUCAGCAGGGAAGAAUACAGACGGUACCUGCGGAAGAAGCUCCGGCUAACUACGUGCCAGCAGCCGCCGUAA